This is a long non-coding RNA of Macrobrachium nipponense, 278 nucleotides long. RefSeq lists it as uncharacterized. The transcript is spliced from 3 exons. The record is from RefSeq and is a predicted model, not a curated record. Lineage: Eukaryota; Metazoa; Arthropoda; Malacostraca; Decapoda; Palaemonidae.
UCAGACCCCUUUGAUAGUGACAGCGACCCAGAUGACCCUGAGCCUUUCCAUGGUUUUGAUGCCUCGCCCUAUUCAUCAGAUCUAGAUGUUCCCUCAUCAGUUGAUACGAGUAGUAUCACCUCUCCAGAGCCCAAAUCAGUUGAUACGAGUAGUAUCACCUCUCCCAUUCCUUCAGACUCCCAAGCACCUGCCCAUCCUACUCCAUAGCCCAGCCACCCACUCAUCUACCAUAUGCCCAUCCCAGUAAGCAAGCCAACCACUAGAAUUUGGUAAGGACA